AUGCACGCUGGCGGCGUGCCUCAUACAUGCCAGUCGAGCGAACAGAUGAGGAGCUUGCUCCUCUGACGUUAGCGGCGGACGGGUGAGUAACACGUGGAUAACCUACCUAUAAGACUGGGAUAACUUCGGGAAACCGGAGCUAAUACCGGAUAAUAUAUUGAACCGCAUGGUUCAAUAGUGAAAGACGGUUUUGCUGUCACUUAUAGAUGGAUCCGCGCCGCAUUAGCUAGUUGGUAAGGUAACGGCUUACCAAGGCGACGAUGCGUAGCCGACCUGAGAGGGUGAUCGGCCACACUGGAACUGAGACACGGUCCAGACUCCUACGGGAGGCAGCAGUAGGGAAUCUUCCGCAAUGGGCGAAAGCCUGACGGAGCAACGCCGCGUGAGUGAUGAAGGUCUUCGGAUCGUAAAACUCUGUUAUUAGGGAAGAACAAAUGUGUAAGUAACUAUGCACGUCUUGACGGUACCUAAUCAGAAAGCCACGGCUAACUACG
RNAcentral lists this ribosomal RNA (494 nucleotides) under uncultured bacterium. RNAcentral's name for it is "partial 16S ribosomal RNA". It matches the Rfam family "Bacterial small subunit ribosomal RNA", at positions 29 to 505 of the family's 1533-position model. The record is from RNAcentral.